GACAGAGGGUGCGAGCGUUAUUCGGAAUUAUUGGGUGUAAAGGGUGCGUAGGCGGUUUUGUAAGUCUUUUAUUAAAUACUAUGUCUUAAAUAUAGUGCUGUAAUUGAUACUGUAAAACUAGAGAACGGGAGAGGUAAGUGGAAUUCAUAGUGGAGAGGUAGAAUUCGAGGAUAUUAUGAGGAACACCAGAAGCGAAGGCGAUUUGCUGGAACGUUUCUGACGCUGAGGCACGAAAGCGUGGGGAUCAAACAGG
Molecule: ribosomal RNA, 253 nt
Filed under: uncultured bacterium
Lineage: Bacteria
Description: partial 16S ribosomal RNA
Rfam family: Bacterial small subunit ribosomal RNA
Source: RNAcentral